RNAcentral lists this long non-coding RNA (239 nucleotides) under Ananas comosus (pineapple). RNAcentral describes it as "long non-coding RNA (ACOM_LNC001947)". Lineage: Eukaryota; Viridiplantae; Streptophyta; Magnoliopsida; Poales; Bromeliaceae. The record is from RNAcentral.
AGCGCCCCCUUCAUUCUAAGCCUCCUGCUUCGCCUCUCUUUUCCUCCUUCCGAUCCCACCCCCCCUGUCGGGUGUUUGUCGGACCCUACCCUGACCUCCCCUCUCUCCCUGUCCCCUCCCAUGCCUCUCUCUCUAUCUCUCUCUCUCUCUCGAUUCCUUCUCUCUCUUACUCCCGCGCUCCUCUCCCCGCCUCCUUCUUCUGUCGCCCCACGGGGCUCGCAGGCCCCCGUGCCCUCUCC